Small nuclear RNA from Saimiri boliviensis boliviensis (Bolivian squirrel monkey), 112 nucleotides. RefSeq annotates it as U5 spliceosomal RNA. Lineage: Eukaryota; Metazoa; Chordata; Mammalia; Primates; Cebidae. The record is from RefSeq and is a predicted model, not a curated record.
UUACUCUGGUUUCUCUUCUGAUCCCAUAAAUCUUUUGCCUUUUACCAAAGAUUCCCAUGGAGAAAAAUACUUACGUCUUUAUUAUUCUUGAAGAAAAUGAAAACUCAUGGUU